GGGAAUGGCCAUAGCUUGGGGGUACAACGUCUGCUUUGCAUGCAGAAGGUCCCAGGUUCAAGCCCUGGCAUCUCCA
This is a non-coding RNA of Podarcis lilfordi (Lilford's wall lizard), 76 nucleotides long. Lineage: Eukaryota; Metazoa; Chordata; Lepidosauria; Squamata; Lacertidae. The record is from the annotation of a GenBank genome assembly.